This 478-nucleotide ribosomal RNA is filed under the name uncultured bacterium. RNAcentral's name for it is "partial 16S ribosomal RNA". It matches the Rfam family "Bacterial small subunit ribosomal RNA", at positions 28 to 507 of the family's 1533-position model. The record is from RNAcentral.
GAUGAACGCUGGCGGCGUGCUUAACACAUGCAAGUCGAACGGGAAACCUUUUAUUGAAGCUUCGGCAGAUUUAGCUGGUUUCUAGCGGCGGACGGGUGAGUAACGCGUGGGUAACCUGCCUUAUACAGGGGGAUAACAGUCAGAAAUGGCUGCUAAUACCGCAUAAGCGCACAGAGCUGCAUGGCUCAGUGUGAAAAACUCCGGUGGUAUAAGAUGGACCCGCGUUGGAUUAGCUGGUUGGUGGGGUAACGGCCCACCAAGGCGACGAUCCAUAGCCGGCCUGAGAGGGUGAACGGCCACAUUGGGACUGAGACACGGACCAGAAUCCUACGGGAGGCAGCAGUGGGGAAUAUUGCACAAUGGGGGAAACACUGAUGCAGCGACGCCGCGUGAAGGAAGAAGUAUCUCGGUAUGUAAACUUCUAUCAGCAGGGAAGAUAAUGACGGUACCUGACUAAGAAGCCCCGGCUAACUACGUG